AAGAGCCUUGUGCAUACCUACUAAAAUUGGAAUGAUACAGAAAGAUGAGCAUGGCACCUGUGCAAGGAUGAUGUGCAAAUUCAUGAAGGAUUUCACAUUUUU
RNAcentral lists this small nuclear RNA (102 nucleotides) under Catagonus wagneri (Chacoan peccary). The record is from RNAcentral. Lineage: Eukaryota; Metazoa; Chordata; Mammalia; Artiodactyla; Tayassuidae.